RNAcentral lists this ribosomal RNA (253 nucleotides) under uncultured bacterium. RNAcentral's name for it is "partial 16S ribosomal RNA". It matches the Rfam family "Bacterial small subunit ribosomal RNA", at positions 524 to 776 of the family's 1533-position model. The record is from RNAcentral.
GACGAACCGUCCGAACGUUAUUCGGAAUCACUGGGCUUAAAGGGUGCGUAGGCGGCGCGGAAAGUUGGGUGUGAAAUCCCUCGGCUUAACCGAGGAACUGCGCCCAAAACUACCGUGCUUGAGGGAGAUAGAGGUGAGCGGAACUUAGGGUGGAGCGGUGAAAUGCGUUGAUAUCCUAAGGAACACCGGUGGCGAAAGCGGCUCACUGGAUCUCUUCUGACGCUGAGACACGAAAGCUAGGGUAGCGAACGGG